Molecule: long non-coding RNA, 477 nt
Organism: Leopardus geoffroyi (Geoffroy's cat)
Lineage: Eukaryota; Metazoa; Chordata; Mammalia; Carnivora; Felidae
Exons: 3
Source: RefSeq, a predicted model, not a curated record
UUGAGCCUUGGUGGUCCCGCCCGCGUACCGGAAGCUCUGGGCGCGGAGGUGUCCGGAAGCUCUCUCUGGGCGCGGAGGUGUGCGGUUGCUGUCUCUGGGCGCGGAGGUGUGCGGAAUUUCACGGUUUCUCGAGAGGGAGAAAGAGAUUGCACACGUGCACUAGGUGGGGAGGACAGAGGAAGAAGGAGAGAGAGAAUUCCAAGGAGGCUGCAGGCUAUCAGCGCCGUCCGCGCAGACGCGACACAAGCCUGAGUCCCGUGAGCCGCUAGAUGAUGACCUCAGCCGAAAUCCAGAGUGGAACACUCAACCGCUUAACCAACUGAGCCAGCCAGGUGCCCCAGUGAGCCUUUGAUUCUCAGGAAGACCUCUUUCACUGUUUCCAGUGUUUCAAAGUGGAAUUUUAAAAAGUGUUCGAGGGGAAGAUGGCGGCAUAGGAGGACGCUGGGCUCAGCUCGUCCUGCUGAUCACUUAGAUUCC